This 72-nucleotide transfer RNA is filed under the name Camelus bactrianus (Bactrian camel). It matches the Rfam family "tRNA". Rfam says of the family: Transfer RNA (tRNA) molecules are approximately 80 nucleotides in length. Their secondary structure includes four short double-helical elements and three loops (D, anti-codon, and T loops). Lineage: Eukaryota; Metazoa; Chordata; Mammalia; Artiodactyla; Camelidae. RNAcentral also lists the same sequence under 2 other names. The record is from Rfam by way of RNAcentral.
GAGGGUAUAGCUCAGUGCUAGAGUACCUGCCUAGCUUGCAUGAUGUCCUGGGUUUAAUCCCCAAUACCUCCA